RNAcentral lists this ribosomal RNA (409 nucleotides) under Verrucomicrobiota bacterium. RNAcentral's name for it is "Verrucomicrobia bacterium partial 16S ribosomal RNA". It matches the Rfam family "Bacterial small subunit ribosomal RNA", at positions 355 to 776 of the family's 1533-position model. The record is from RNAcentral. Lineage: Bacteria; Pseudomonadati; Verrucomicrobiota.
UGGGGAAUAUUGCACAAUGGGGGAAACCCUGAUGCAGCGACGCCGCGUGAGGGAUGACGGCCUUCGGGUUGUAAACCUCUUUCAGUAGGGACGAAGCGUAAGUGACGGUACCUGCAGAAGAAGCACCGGCUAACUACGUGCCAGCAGCCGCGGUAAUACGUAGGGUGCGAGCGUUGUCCGGAAUUACUGGGCGUAAAGAGCUCGUAGGCGGUUUGUCACGUCGUCUGUGAAAUCCUAGGGCUUAACCCUGGACGUGCAGGCGAUACGGGCUGACUUGAGUACUACAGGGGAGACUGGAAUUUCUGGUGUAGCGGUGGAAUGCACAGAUAUCAGGAAGAACACCGAUGGCGAAGGCAGGUCUCUGGGUAGUAACUGACGCUGAGGAGCGAAAGCAUGGGUAGCGAACAGG